AUGAUAUGCUUCUUCGCAGUCGAGUGGCACUUUGUAGACCGUGUGGCAAGACAAUUUGGAAAAAGACAAGGUAUUCCAAUUGAGGAGAGCAAGGAGGAAAUGCUAUCUCUGCAUCGGUUCGAUCGAAGGAACAAUCAGGAUAUAUCGGAUUGGGCAAACAAACACCGUGCGUGGAUAGAAAUUUGGAAUCAAAGAGACACGUUAGUGCAAUCAGAGAAUAGACCUCACAAUCAGUCAGCAUAUCAGAAGUAUCAAGUGUGGUAUGCGGAUCGUUACCGGUUAAAGCUGAAGCCAGGUUGGACUCACGAGGAGUGGUCGGAGUUGGUGUCUGAAGACCCGGAGACUGCAGAAGGUUAUCAUACCUUCAACACGGCUGUGAGAGACACCAGAGGGGCUCAUGUUGACUACGCACCGAUGCAUGACGAAAUGGUAGUCUGUUUGACCUAUUCUAACAUACUUGCAUCAUGUUGUCUUCUUUCAAAUACAUAA
Molecule: ribosomal RNA, 489 nt
Filed under: Triticum aestivum (bread wheat)
Lineage: Eukaryota; Viridiplantae; Streptophyta; Magnoliopsida; Poales; Poaceae
Description: partial small subunit ribosomal RNA
Source: RNAcentral